This 699-nucleotide ribosomal RNA is filed under the name Acinetobacter baumannii. RNAcentral's name for it is "partial 23S ribosomal RNA". It matches the Rfam family "Bacterial large subunit ribosomal RNA", at positions 1 to 752 of the family's 2925-position model. The record is from RNAcentral. Lineage: Bacteria; Pseudomonadati; Pseudomonadota; Gammaproteobacteria; Moraxellales; Moraxellaceae.
GUCAAGUAAUUAAGUGCAUGUGGUGGAUGCCUUGGCAGUCAGAGGCGAUGAAAGACGUGAUAGCCUGCGAAAAGCUCCGGGGAGGCGGCAAAUAUCCUUUGAUCCGGAGAUGUCUGAAUGGGGGAACCCACCUACUUUAAGGUAGGUAUUGCAACAUGAAUACAUAGUGUUGCAAGGCGAACGAGGGGAAGUGAAACAUCUCAGUACCCUUAGGAAAAGAAAUCAAUUGAGAUUCCCUCAGUAGCGGCGAGCGAACGGGGAUCAGCCCAUUAAGUUAUGUGUGUUUUAGUGGAACGCUCUGGGAAGUGCGAACGUAGAGGGUGAUAUUCCCGUACACGAAAGGGCACACAUAAUGAUGACGAGUAGGGCGAGGCACGUGAAACCUUGUCUGAAUAUGGGGGGACCAUCCUCCAAGGCUAAAUACUCCUGACUGACCGAUAGUGAACCAGUACCGUGAGGGAAAGGCGAAAAGAACCCCUGUGAGGGGAGUGAAAUAGAUCCUGAAACCGCAUGCAUACAAGCAGUGGGAGCACCUUCGUGGUGUGACUGCGUACCUUUUGUAUAAUGGGUCAGCGACUUAUAUUCAGUAGCGAGGUUAACCGUAUAGGGGAGCCGUAGAGAAAUCGAGUCUUAAUAGGGCGUUUAGUUGCUGGGUAUAGACCCGAAACCAGGCGAUCUAUCCAUGAGCAGGUUGAAGGU